RNAcentral lists this ribosomal RNA (596 nucleotides) under Komagataea norvegica. RNAcentral describes it as "eukaryotic LSU rRNA". It matches the Rfam family "Eukaryotic large subunit ribosomal RNA", at positions 37 to 634 of the family's 3401-position model. The record is from RNAcentral. Lineage: Eukaryota; Fungi; Ascomycota; Saccharomycetes; Phaffomycetales; Wickerhamomycetaceae.
UGCAUAUCAAUAAGCGGAGGAAAAGAAACCAACAGGGAUUGCCUCAGUAACGGCGAGUGAAGCGGCAAAAGCUCAAAUUUGAAAUCUGGCAGCCUCGCUGUCCGAGUUGUAAUUUGAAGAUUUCUCUUUGUGAGAGGCGCCUUGUCUAUGUUCCUUGGAACAGGACGUCGCAGAGGGUGAGAAUCCCGUGUGAUGAGGCCGCCGAUCCGUGUAAAGAGUCAUCGACGAGUCGAGUUGUUUGGGAAUGCAGCUCUAAGUGGGUGGUAAACUCCAUCUAAAGCUAAAUAUUGGCGAGAGACCGAUAGCGAACAAGUACAGUGAUGGAAAGAUGAAAAGAACUUUGAAAAGAGAGUGAAAAAGUACGUGAAAUUGUUGAAAGGGAAGGUUAUUAGAUCAGACUUGGCGGCGCGCCAUACCUGUCCUCUUGUAGGGCGGACACUGGCGCGUGUUUGCUGGGCCAGCAUCGAUUCGGGCGGCGGGACAUGGUCCUGUGGGAUGUGGCUGUUUUAACACAGUGUUAUAACCACGGGUCUCUGCCGCCUGCCUGGAUCGAGGACUGCGUCUGUUACAGACUAGGAUGCUGCGUAGCCUCCGUG